GACGAACGCUGGCGGCGUGCCUAAUACAUGCAAGUAGGACGCAGUUGCGAAAGGGUGAGUAACGCGUAGGUAACUGCCUAUUGGAGGGGGCUAAAUAUUGGAAACGAUAGCGAAUACCGCAUACUAGUAGAUGGACCUGCGUUGUAUUGGGUAGUAGGUAGGGUAAUGGGCUACCUAGGCGACGUUACAUAACCGAGCUUGGAGGGGGGGCGACCCACCCUGGACUGAGGCACGGCCCAGACUCCUACGGGAGGCAGCAGGUGGGAAUCAUCGGCAAUGGGGGGAACCCUUGCCGAGCACCUCCGCGUGGGUUGAGAAGGGUUUCCGGUCUUAAAGCUCUGUUGUUCAGGAAGCGGUACUUAACCAGAAAGGGACGGCUAACUACGUGCCAGCAGCCGCGGUAAUAC
RNAcentral lists this ribosomal RNA (407 nucleotides) under uncultured bacterium. Its description in RNAcentral is "partial 16S ribosomal RNA". It matches the Rfam family "Bacterial small subunit ribosomal RNA", at positions 28 to 526 of the family's 1533-position model. The record is from RNAcentral.